Long non-coding RNA from Nymphaea colorata (pocket water lily), 1009 nucleotides. RefSeq lists it as uncharacterized. Lineage: Eukaryota; Viridiplantae; Streptophyta; Magnoliopsida; Nymphaeales; Nymphaeaceae. The transcript is spliced from 6 exons. The record is from RefSeq and is a predicted model, not a curated record.
UCGGACGAACGAGCACAAGUUUUGGCGUUACCGAGUUAUGCGGAAAAGGUUUCCGUCUCGUCUUCUCGGUUAGUUUCCGUUUUUGGGCAGCCGUCCAAUUUUCUGCCGACUUCAACGACUAUUUUGAAUGCUUCGCGGGUAAAACAAGAAUGAGGGUUCGCGCUCUGCAAUUGACUGGUGCGUGCUCUCUCUUCGUCCCCCACUCUCUCCUUCUCCUUCUCUUUCUCUGUUCCUUCCAAAGGGAUCGUCCUGGUGCGUGGGUACCUGAGGUUUCAGGUAGAGGCAGAGCCGGUGGAAUGCGACCAGCUUUUCUGGCUUCGGGACCCCUUUGCCGUGUUCCUUGGGUUUCCGAAUAUGAGAAACCUAAUGUCGACUCUCGCAGCAGAUGAAGGCCUUUGAAGUUCGUCUAAUCGUAGUCUUAAACCUUCUCUCGCCCCAGACGAAUGCUUCGUAGCCUGCUCGCCUCCUUGGCAGCCAUUCGGAGGGUCUGAUUUUAGCUUUAACAAGCAGACAGGUGAGGUGCCAAAAACUUCAGGAGAAGUGCCAAAGUUGAAGUGCUUGUUUUUGAUGACAGCCUGGCUAGCCCCAUGCAAUAUGCAAAAUUGACAAGGAAAAAAGGCACCUCAAGAUAACAUCAUACAUUAUUCCUUGAAUGAAUGCUGCAAUAGUCGUAAACCAAAAUAUUUUUCUUUUCACAUAAAUUGCAAUAGUCAGAGUCCAUUAGUGCUGCAAGUCGAUGUAUGACGGGGACAAUGCAAUAGAUGGUGCUGUAGUUUCCUUCACAAAGAAAGGCAACUGGGCAUUGGGCAAACACGGACUUUUAUGGAAGAUGACAAUGAAAAUGAUAAGUACAUUAUUGAGGACUUUCACUGCGCCCCUAUACAAUUUCCCCUUCUUUGCAAUGGCCACCGGCGGCUAACAUAGCCAACAGCUGGCGACGUCGGCAGACAUCGGCAGCCUGGUAAGUGUGUGUGUUUGUUUUUCUUUUCUAGGGGCAUAGAACUUUAAG